This 437-nucleotide ribosomal RNA is filed under the name uncultured bacterium. RNAcentral's name for it is "partial 16S ribosomal RNA". It matches the Rfam family "Bacterial small subunit ribosomal RNA", at positions 29 to 507 of the family's 1533-position model. The record is from RNAcentral.
AGCGAACGCUGGCGGCAGGCUUAACACAUGCAAGUCGAGCGGGCAUCCUUGUGGUGUCAGCGGCAGACGGGUGAGUAACGCGUGGGAACGUGCCCUUCGGUUCGGAAUAACUCAGGGAAACUUGAGCUAAUACCGGAUACGUGCGAGAGCAGAAAGGUUUAUCUGCCGAAGGAUCGGCCCGCGUCUGAUUAGCUAGUUGGUGAGGUUAUGGCUCACCAAGGCGACGAUCAGUAGCUGGUCUGAGAGGAUGAUCAGCCACACUGGGACUGAGACACGGCCCAGACUCCUACGGGAGGCAGCAGUGGGGAAUAUUGGACAAUGGGGGCAACCCUGAACCAGCCAUGCCGCGUGAGUGAUGACGGCCUUAGGGUUGUAAAGCUCUUUUCUCCGGGACGAUAAUGACGGUACCGGAGGAAUAAGCCCCGGCUAACUUCGUG